RNAcentral lists this long non-coding RNA (2849 nucleotides) under Homo sapiens (human). RNAcentral's name for it is "HSALNT0377193". Lineage: Eukaryota; Metazoa; Chordata; Mammalia; Primates; Hominidae. The record is from RNAcentral.
UUUAUGCCACUGCACUCCAGCCUGGGCAACAGAGUGAGACCCCGUCUCUCAAUCAAUCAAUCAAAUCCCAGGUACAUUUUAAGAUACUCCCAUAACCAAAAACGUAGGGCUGAAGAAUAAUAUGCAAAUAAAAAAAUAGUCUCAAAACUGAAGUGAAAGUAAAAAUGUGGAAAGAAGAAAGCCUUUGAAUACAAUAUGUUGGCAUAAUUUAUUAUUUCCUCUCUCUAAUCGUGUUUGGAAAAGAAGUUAUCUAAAUCCCAGGCAAAUAGAUAUUGGAACUCUGGAAUUUCUAUGUAAAUAAUACCCAUUUGCUAUAGAGUUCUUUAAUGAAGAACUUACUUUUACAAAAUUAUGGACAAUAUUAACAUUACCAGAAAUAAUCUCCAAUACAAUCUUUAGCAAUUUAGCAGUUAACUUCAUCUCAUCAAAACAUGUUCAGACUUGGACCUUCUAUUUUUGCAUUUUCUUAUUUUAGUUUCAAGAAAAUUCUUAAGUGAUUUCUUUUGUUUUUAGUGCCUAAUUUUAAAACAUCAUGCUCUUGGGUGAGACAUAACAUGUCCAUGUAUGAAAUUAAGCAUAGAAAGAAGGGUUAAAUUAUAAUAGCUUUUUGGAGUAAAGAAUGAAGAGGGCAAACGUGAUGAGGAAAAAGAGACUGUCAGUAAUUGCAAUGCACACACAAGGGAGAGCAGGCACAGUGAACAUUUCAGGGACAAGAUGGAAAGUGUACUCUGCACAGAGACUCUAUACUGUGAAAAGAGGGAGAAUCAAUUUAUGGGCCAAGAAAGACCUGGACAAAAUUAUACAUUUUGAAGGAAAUCACUUGUGCUGAAGCAAUGAAAACUUUCUGGAGAGCUAUUUGAGGAGGCAGAUGUUUAGGUAAUAUAUUGCUGCUUUGCAUUUCUAUAACACCUUCCAUGUAAGAGCUGCAGAGUGUAACACAAACAUUAAUAAAUUAAGCCUCGUGGCACCUCUGCAUGAUCGAUAGACAUAACAGCCAUUUUUAUAGUGUAGGAAAGGCAGCACCCUGCUCAAAAGUGCUGAAGUCAUUUACCCAAGGUCAUGAAGUGGGGGGGAAAUUGGCAAAGUGUUUCAAAAUGGAGCGUUGCGUCUCGCCACACUCACACAACCUGCCUCCUUCAAUGGGGUCAUAGAAGGAAAGAAUGGGGUGCCAUGUAUGCCCUGGUUUCCAAUGAUUCACUUCAGGAGAUAUAUCUGUAAUUUAACUUGAAGAUGGUUUGGAAAUAGUAAGUCUUAGAUCAAAGGCUUAACUCCUUUCUCUCUGGUUUACUCGGGAAUUAAUUUGUUUGCUAAUGCUGGUCUCUCCUGGGAUCACACUGGCCUUUAGCUGUAGAGUUUUGUGUUCAUGUUACUUAAUCUGAUUAUGCAAAGGACUUAAAAUAUUUCAAGAAUAUCAAACAACACAAACAUGUCUAUGUAGGCAUUAAUGUAAUUAUUUUGUUAUUUUAGUUUCUAAAAAACUCAUAAAAUUGCAAUUGAAAAUAGUGUGCCAACUUUACAAAGGAUAAUGCCAAGUCCGUAACAGAAUCUCUUUAUUUAUUUUUUUCACUUUGGUCAGACAUCACUAUAUAUCUUCCUAAAUGCAACUCCUCUCCAUUAUCAACCUUGGCUUGGUAAUAGCCUGUUCCAUAGUAACAUUGUCUUUUAUUCCUCUUUCUCUCUGAUAACCACGUAUUUUCUCCAUUAGAAGAAUUGGCAGAGAGAAAACAAAGUAAGGAAAUCAAAUAUAAAUUCCCAGUGCUCCUAAUAUCUCUUGGAAAGAAAAUGGACACCUCUGUUAACAAAGUUAUGAUGAUUUCUACCUCGGUACACAUUUUCGAACUUCUCAGAGAGGAACCAGCUCACCUGUAAGUCACUCAUGUUCUCAAUUUCCAUUUUUUUUUUCUAUAGCAAGAAAAAGAAGACCUUUUUUUUUUUCAUUGAAGCAAGGCAUAAGGCACUUGUCACUGUUUAACAUUCAGCCUCAUUUCUUUUCCAGAGCGGUCCUUUGAGAGCAUUAGCACUCACACCCCAUACAACUAGAACUCAUGACACUGGCAAAUGGUGUUUCUAGAGUGCUUUGCAUUGCCCGACAUGUUCUCACCCUGUUUUCUCCCCAAUCCUUACAAUUCUCCAAAUGCAAGUGCAAACUGGGGUGCUGUCAAGCAGCCUGGUGCUUAAAGGGCAGAGCCAGGAUGGACCCAGAUUCUGGUUUCCACCAUGUGCCUGAUGGAUACCAUGCGGAUGUGGAGCAGGAAACACUGGGUGCAAAUCCCCACCAGGAACUGUUCAUCCUGAAAAAAACCUGCUGCACAUUGCCCUGGUCACCUCAACGAAAAAUGGGUCAAAAUCAAAGUUGAUGAUCAGUCAUAUGAUCUUCAGCAGCCCUGGAAGGGUGUGAGUUCUCGGCAUCCCAUGCAGGAGCUCUGAAUGUACAAGAGGUGCUGAGGAGGGAGCAUGCGCCGGUGCCAAACGCUGGAUGACCUCACUAUCCUCAUGGAAAAGGAGGUGAAUACCACUGCCUUCUUUCUGUGUCCAAGCAAGUUAUGACUGGAAUGGAAAGUAUAGCCACCCGGGGCUGUCAGUACCCCUACCUACUCAAUUGCAGACAUGUUGAUACAGAACAUGAUCAUCGAAUUCCAGUGAAGCCACAGUGAUGGGAGUCCAGCAAGAGUAAAAGCAAGUAGAAGGAAGAAGCCCAGAAAAACCAAAGCGCCUAAGGCCCAUGAAAGCUGUAAUGACUCCUUACCAUGAAGUUCUCUCUCCUGAUACCAUGUGGAGAAGAUCCUUACUUCCUCUUCACCUUCCACCAUGAUUGUGAGUUUCCUGAGGCCUUCCCAGCCAUGCGGAAC